Molecule: long non-coding RNA, 807 nt
Organism: Panthera uncia (snow leopard)
Lineage: Eukaryota; Metazoa; Chordata; Mammalia; Carnivora; Felidae
Exons: 3
Source: RefSeq, a predicted model, not a curated record
GUCAAGCCACUGGAAAAGUGUUAGGUAGGGGAAGGUGAAGGCCCUAAAUCCUUGUGUACGAUACUCAAUAGGGCAUGAAUCCUGAUCCUCAAUCACUAACUACCUAUGGAGCAAAGCAACUGAUGUCUGACCUGAGUUUUCAAGGUUAAGUCAGAGAAAGAGCUGUUUCUAAGGCACUGGGAAUGCAUGCAAAGCCAUUAAAAGAAAUGGUCUGUGCCGAGUUCCAGAAACGGCUGUAUGAGGUAAAACCAAAAAGAGGAAAGGCCAUGCGAAGACACUACAAGACAGCAGCCACCUGCAAGCCAAAGAAAGAGGCCACAGAAGAAACCAACCCUGAGGGCACCUGACCAUGACCUUAAGGCUUCCAGCCUCUGGAAUACUGAGAAAAUAAAUUUCUGUUUAAGCCACCCAGGUUGCAGCCUUUUUAUUAUGGCACCCCAAGCUAACACAUCUCCCUUUAUGCACUUUACCCUCCCCAUUUAGAGUAGCAUUGUUAUAAGUGCUUCCUCUAUGUACAGUGAGAACCUCAUCAGACAGAUAGAAGUUUUGCUUCUACCAAACAUAAUUUAGAAAAUUCAAGGAAAGUACACUUACAUUUUUAUUUACACUGUACACUUUCUCUUCCCAGUAUUUCAAGGAUGCCUCCUUGUAUUUCUUUUAUUAUUAUUAUUAUUUUCUUAUUCUUUUUCUUAUUAUUCUUUUAUUAUUUUUCUGUUUAGAAAAUAUCAUUAGCUAUUCUUUUAAGGCCCAAAACUCCCUUUGUUUUCUUUCAUCUCAGCAUGUCUUGAUUUUGCCUUCAUUCCUGAA